Molecule: ribosomal RNA, 1547 nt
Filed under: Klebsiella pneumoniae
Lineage: Bacteria; Pseudomonadati; Pseudomonadota; Gammaproteobacteria; Enterobacterales; Enterobacteriaceae
Description: bacterial SSU rRNA
Rfam family: Bacterial small subunit ribosomal RNA
Source: RNAcentral
AAAUUGAAGAGUUUGAUCAUGGCUCAGAUUGAACGCUGGCGGCAGGCCUAACACAUGCAAGUCGAGCGGUAGCACAGAGAGCUUGCUCUCGGGUGACGAGCGGCGGACGGGUGAGUAAUGUCUGGGAAACUGCCUGAUGGAGGGGGAUAACUACUGGAAACGGUAGCUAAUACCGCAUAAUGUCGCAAGACCAAAGUGGGGGACCUUCGGGCCUCAUGCCAUCAGAUGUGCCCAGAUGGGAUUAGCUAGUAGGUGGGGUAACGGCUCACCUAGGCGACGAUCCUAGCUGGUCUGAGAGGAUGACCAGCCACACUGGAACUGAGACACGGUCCAGACUCCUACGGGAGGCAGCAGUGGGGAAUAUUGCACAAUGGGCGCAAGCCUGAUGCAGCCAUGCCGCGUGUGUGAAGAAGGCCUUCGGGUUGUAAAGCACUUUCAGCGGGGAGGAAGGCGGUGAGGUUAAUAACCUCAUCGAUUGACGUUACCCGCAGAAGAAGCACCGGCUAACUCCGUGCCAGCAGCCGCGGUAAUACGGAGGGUGCAAGCGUUAAUCGGAAUUACUGGGCGUAAAGCGCACGCAGGCGGUCUGUCAAGUCGGAUGUGAAAUCCCCGGGCUCAACCUGGGAACUGCAUUCGAAACUGGCAGGCUAGAGUCUUGUAGAGGGGGGUAGAAUUCCAGGUGUAGCGGUGAAAUGCGUAGAGAUCUGGAGGAAUACCGGUGGCGAAGGCGGCCCCCUGGACAAAGACUGACGCUCAGGUGCGAAAGCGUGGGGAGCAAACAGGAUUAGAUACCCUGGUAGUCCACGCCGUAAACGAUGUCGAUUUGGAGGUUGUGCCCUUGAGGCGUGGCUUCCGGAGCUAACGCGUUAAAUCGACCGCACGGGAGUACGGCCGCAAGGUUAAAACUCAAAUGAAUUGACGGGGCCCGCACAAGCGGUGGAGCAUGUGGUUUAAUUCGAUGCAACGCGAAGAACCUUACCUGGUCUUGACAUCCACAGAACUUUCCAGAGAUGGAUUGGUGCCUUCGGGAACUGUGAGACAGGUGCUGCAUGGCUGUCGUCAGCUCGUGUUGUGAAAUGUUGGGUUAAGUCCCGCAACGAGCGCAACCCUUAUCCUUUGUUGCCAGCGGUCCGGCCGGGAACUCAAAGGAGACUGCCAGUGAUAAACUGGAGGAAGGUGGGGAUGACGUCAAGUCAUCAUGGCCCUUACGACCAGGGCUACACACGUGCUACAAUGGCAUAUACAAAGAGAAGCGACCUCGCGAGAGCAAGCGGACCUCAUAAAGUAUGUCGUAGUCCGGAUUGGAGUCUGCAACUCGACUCCAUGAAGUCGGAAUCGCUAGUAAUCGUAGAUCAGAAUGCUACGGUGAAUACGUUCCCGGGCCUUGUACACACCGCCCGUCACACCAUGGGAGUGGGUUGCAAAAGAAGUAGGUAGCUUAACCUUCGGGAGGGCGCUUACCACUUUGUGAUUCAUGACUGGGGUGAAGUCGUAACAAGGUAACCGUAGGGGAACCUGCGGUUGGAUCACCUCCUUACCUUAAAGAA